UGAAUAAGGAAUUGGCCAGAUGGUUGUACUCAAAGAGUUGUGGUCAACAGUUCAGUGUCCAGCUGGAGACCAGUAAUGAGAGGUGUCCCUCAGGGAUUGGUCUUGUUUAACAUCUUUGUCGGUGACAUGGACAGUGGGAUUGAGUGCACCCUCAGCAAGUUUGCCGAUGACACCAAGCUGUGUGGUUUGGUUGGUAAGCUGGAGGGAAGGAAUGCCAUCCAGAGGGACCUCGACACGCUUGUAAGGUGGGCUGAUG
Molecule: long non-coding RNA, 256 nt
Organism: Pezoporus occidentalis (night parrot)
Lineage: Eukaryota; Metazoa; Chordata; Aves; Psittaciformes; Psittacidae
Exons: 2
Source: RefSeq, a predicted model, not a curated record